UACGUAGGGUGCGAGCGUUAAUCGGAAUUACUGGGCGUAAAGCGCGCGUAGGCGGGCUGUUAAGUCGGGGGUGAAAUCCCGGGGCUCAACCCCGGAACGGCCCUCGAUACUGGCAGUCUGGAGGUCGAGAGAGGCAAGUGGAAUGGCGAGUGUAGAGGUGAAAUUCGUAGAUAUUCGCCGGAACACCAGUGGCGAAGGCGGCUUGCUGGCUCGAACCUGACGCUGAGGCGCGAAAGCGUGGGGAGCAAACAGG
Molecule: unclassified non-coding RNA, 253 nt
Filed under: uncultured Rhodobacterales bacterium
Lineage: Bacteria; Pseudomonadati; Pseudomonadota; Alphaproteobacteria; Rhodobacterales
Description: contains 16S-23S intergenic spacer region
Rfam family: Bacterial small subunit ribosomal RNA
Source: RNAcentral